CUUUACUGCAACUUGACGUUGGAACUUGGCUGUAUUUGUGUAGGAUAGGUGGGAGACUUUGAAACAGGGCCGCCAGGUCUUGCGGAGUCGUCGUUGAAAUACCACCCUGGUGCUGACGAGUUUCUAACCGUGUCCGUAAGCCGGACAUGAGACAACGUCUGGUGGGCAGUUUAACUGGGGCGGUCGCCUCCUAAAAGGUAACGGAGGCAUUCAAAGGUCCCCUCAGCGUGGUCGGUAAUCACGCGCAGAGUGCAAACGCAUAAGGGGGCUUAACUGCGAGACCGACAGGUCGAGCAGGUACGAAAGUAGGAGUUAGUGAUCCCGCGGUUUAGCGUGGAAUUGCCGUUGCUCAAUAGAUAAAAGGUA
RNAcentral lists this ribosomal RNA (366 nucleotides) under uncultured organism. Its description in RNAcentral is "bacterial LSU rRNA". It matches the Rfam family "Bacterial large subunit ribosomal RNA", at positions 2099 to 2465 of the family's 2925-position model. The record is from RNAcentral.